This 453-nucleotide ribosomal RNA is filed under the name uncultured bacterium. Its description in RNAcentral is "partial 16S ribosomal RNA". It matches the Rfam family "Bacterial small subunit ribosomal RNA", at positions 28 to 506 of the family's 1533-position model. The record is from RNAcentral.
GAUGAACGCUGACAGAAUGCUUAACACGUGCAAGUCAACUUGAACUUCGGUUUGGGUGGCGGACGGGUGAGUAACGCGUAAAGAACUUGCCUCACAGAUAGGGACAACAUUUGGAAACGAAUGCUAAUACCUGAUAUUAUGAUUAUAUGGCAUCGUAUAAUUAUGAAAGCUAUAUGCGCUGUGAGAGAGCUUUGCGUCCCAUUAGCUAGUUGGAGGGGUAACGGCUCACCAAGGCGAUGAUGGGUAGCCGGCCUGAGAGGGUGAUCGGCCACAAGGGGACUGAGACACGGCCCUUACUCCUACGGGAGGCGGCAGUGGGGAAUAUUGGACAAUGGACCAAGAGUCUGAUCCAGCAAUUCUGUGUGCACGAUGAAGUUUUUCGGAAUGUAAAGUGCUUUCAGUUGGGAAGAAAAAAAUGACGGUACCAACAGAAGAAGUGACGGCUAAAUACGU